GGCGAACGCUGGCGGCGUGCCUAACACAUGCAAGUCGAGCGGGCGCGAGCCUUCGGGCUUGCGCUAGCGGCGGACGGGUGCGUAACACGUGGGUAACCUGCCCGUCAGACCGGGAUAACCCUGGGAAACUGGGGCUAAUACCGGAUGGUCCGGCCUGGGCGCAUGCCUGGGUCGGUAAAGGUGGCCUCUGCCGCGAGGCAAGCUACCGCUGGCGGAGGGGCCCGCGGCCCAUCAGGUAGUUGGUGGGGUAACGGCCCACCAAGCCGACGACGGGUAG
Molecule: ribosomal RNA, 277 nt
Filed under: uncultured bacterium
Lineage: Bacteria
Description: partial 16S ribosomal RNA
Rfam family: Bacterial small subunit ribosomal RNA
Source: RNAcentral